Molecule: ribosomal RNA, 139 nt
Filed under: Acinetobacter baumannii
Lineage: Bacteria; Pseudomonadati; Pseudomonadota; Gammaproteobacteria; Moraxellales; Moraxellaceae
Description: partial 23S ribosomal RNA
Rfam family: Bacterial large subunit ribosomal RNA (bases 1-121)
Source: RNAcentral
UUUCCCUAGGACUUUAUGUCCUCUAAAGAGCCGUUCGAGACUAGGACGUUGAUAGGUUGGAUGUGGAAGCAUAGUGAUAUGUGAAGCUGACCAAUACUAAUUGCUCGUGAGGCUUGACUAUACAACACCCAAGCAGUUG